UACGUAGGGUGCAAGCGUUGUCCGGAAUUAUUGGGCGUAAAGAGCUCGUAGGCGGUCUGUCGCGUCUGCUGUGAAAACCUGGGGCUUAACCCCGGGCCUGCAGUGGGUACGGGCAGACUAGAGUGCGGUAGGGGAGACUGGAAUUCCUGGUGUAGCGGUGAAAUGCGUAGAUAUCUGGAGGAACACCGGUGGCGAAGGCGGCAUCCUGGACCGGUAUUGACGCUGAGGCGCGAAAGCCAGGGGAGCAAACGGG
RNAcentral lists this ribosomal RNA (253 nucleotides) under uncultured bacterium. RNAcentral describes it as "partial 16S ribosomal RNA". It matches the Rfam family "Bacterial small subunit ribosomal RNA", at positions 524 to 776 of the family's 1533-position model. The record is from RNAcentral.